AUGGCUGUCGUCAGCUCGUGUCGUGAGAUGUUGGGUUAAGUCCCGCAACGAGCGCAACCCUUGUCCUAUGUUGCCAGCGGGUAAUGCCGGGGACUCGUAGGAGACUGCCGGGGUCAACUCGGAGGAAGGUGGGGACGACGUCAAGUCAUCAUGCCCCUUACGUCCAGGGCUGCACACAUGCUACAAUGGCCGGUACAGAGGGCUGCUAUCCCGCGAGGGUGAGCGAAUCCCAAAAAGCCGGUCUCAGUUCGGAUUGCAGUCUGCAACUCGACUGCAUGAAGUCGGAGUCGCUAGUAAUCCCGGAUCAGCAACGCCGGGGUGAAUACGUUCCCGGGCCUUGUACACACCGCCCGUCAAACCACGAAAGUCGGCAACACCCGAAGCCGGUCACCCAACCACUUUGUGGAGGGAGCCGUCGAAGGUGGGGUCGGUGAUUGGGGUUAAGUCGUAACAAGGUAGCCGUACCGGAAGGUGCGGCUGGAUCACCUCCUUUCUAAGGAGUCACGUUUACUCGACGUGCACUUUGUGCGUCGAUGCAGUGACAUCCCAGUCGGUCACUGGUUACUCGAGGUUGCUGACAUCUCGGUCGGUACGUAUGUCCUUCGGGACAUCCCGUCCGGGCGCUGACAGUGACUUGGGGCUGUUCCUGUUCCGCUUUCAGGGAGUGACGAUGCGUGUCCGCGCGCUCCUUGAGAACUCCAUAGCGAGCACGAGCAUCUGAUUCUCCAAGCUACAAAGAGCCAACGGUGGAUGCCUUGGCGCCUGAAGCCGAUGAAGGACGUGGGAGGCUGCGAAAAGCCACGGGGAGCUGCCUACCAAGCUUCGAUCCGUGGACGUCCGAAUGGGGAAACCCGG
RNAcentral lists this small RNA (855 nucleotides) under uncultured Acidimicrobiales bacterium. RNAcentral describes it as "bacterial SSU rRNA". The stretch from base 1 to 493 matches the Rfam family "Bacterial small subunit ribosomal RNA", at positions 1045 to 1533 of the family's 1533-position model. Lineage: Bacteria; Bacillati; Actinomycetota; Acidimicrobiia; Acidimicrobiales. The record is from RNAcentral.